AUCGGUAGGUGAGGCUACAUAGCGGAUACGGGCUGCUGCCGUGACCUGAUGGAGACAUCAAUAACUGGUGAGCAGGGCAUGUCGAGUUAAGGCAUGUCCUAAUGCAGUUUCAUCGCCCCUAUGAGCUAAAACUUGAACGAUGGUUG
This 146-nucleotide small RNA is filed under the name human gut metagenome. RNAcentral's name for it is "M-box riboswitch (ykoK leader)". It matches the Rfam family "M-box riboswitch aptamer (ykoK leader)". Rfam says of the family: M-box riboswitch, also know as ykoK leader is described as a metaloregulatory RNA that sense divalent metals and function as a genetic control element of genes related to divalent metal transport in bacteria. It was first reported upstream of the B.subtilis ykoK gene and genes with related functions in other bacteria. The record is from RNAcentral.